UACGUAGGUGGCGAGCGUUGUCCGGAUUUACUGGGCGUAAAGAGCGCGCAGGCGGUCGUCCAAGUCGCGUGUGAAAGCCCCCGGCUCAACUGGGGAGGGUCACGCGAUACUGAUCGACUCGAAGGCAGGAGAGGGAAGCGGAAUUCCUGGUGUAGCGGUGAAAUGCGCAGAUAUCAGGAAGAACACCAAUGGCGAAAGCGGCUCACUGGCCCGUAACUGACGCUCAUGCACGACAGCGUGGGGAGCAAACAGG
RNAcentral lists this ribosomal RNA (253 nucleotides) under uncultured bacterium. RNAcentral's name for it is "partial 16S ribosomal RNA". It matches the Rfam family "Bacterial small subunit ribosomal RNA", at positions 524 to 776 of the family's 1533-position model. The record is from RNAcentral.